This 616-nucleotide ribosomal RNA is filed under the name uncultured fungus. RNAcentral's name for it is "eukaryotic LSU rRNA". The stretch from base 191 to 344 matches the Rfam family "5.8S ribosomal RNA". Lineage: Eukaryota; Fungi. The record is from RNAcentral.
AAGUCGUAACAAGGUUUCCGUAGGUGAACCUGCGGAAGGAUCAUUAAUGAAAUGCAAGGACGUUCUUUUUAGAAGUCCGACCCAAUUCAUCCUUUCACCCUGUGCACAUAACAUUUUUUACACCCAUUUUAAAACACGUAAAGUCAUUAGAAUGUCAUAAAGUCUCUUAAUUGAGCAUAAAAGUUAAUAAAACUUUCGGCAACGGAUCUCUUGGCUCCCGCAUCGAUGAAGAACGCAGCGAAAUGCGAUACGUAAUGUGAAUUGCAGAAUUCAGUGAAUCAUCGAAUCUUUGAACGCACCUUGCACUCUUUGGUAUUCCGAAGAGUAUGCCUGUUUGAGUGUCGUGAAACCCUCAACCCCCCUGUUUUGUGAUGAAGCAGGCGUUUGGGCUUGGAUUCUGGCUGUCCUGCCGGCCCUGUAUAGGGUCAGCUCAGCUGAAAUGUACGAGCAGCUUGUAUUUCGAUAGCAUAGAAAGCUUCACUCGGCGUAAUAACACUUAUUCUCGUCAAGUUGAAUGCAGUCUUAUCGUUAGACGGCGCUUAUAAAUCGCUUCACUUUAGUGUGAAACACUUGAACUUUAGACCUCAAAUCAGGCAGGAUUACCCGCUGAACUUAA